AGGGCGUAUGGUGGAUGCCUUGGCAGACAGUACCGAUGAAGGACGUUUGAGGAUGCGAUAAUCCUAGGGGAGCCUCCAACAUGGCUUUGAUCCUAGGGUCUCCGAAUGGGGGAACCCGCCGGCCGUCAUGGGCCGGCACCGCCUAUGGGCGGGGGGUACGCAGGGAAGUGAAACAUCUCAGUACCUGCAGGAAGGGAUACUCCGUGAGUAGUGGCGAGCGAAAGCGGAUCAGACCAAACCGGUUGCGCGUGAUACCCGUCGGGGGUUGCGUUGCCGGUGUCGUGGGAUCACGUGUCCCGGUUCCGACGGGCCGGGCGGGAGUCAUAAAACGGCUUGCCAGGGGAACAGGCUUGAAGGCCUGGCCGUAGAGGGUGCCAGCCCCGUACCUGGACGUGAGCCGUCUUCCGAUCGUGUUGUCCCAAGUAGCGCGGGCCUCGUGGAAUCCCGCGUGAAUCAGCCCAGACCGUUGGGUAAGUCUAAGCAUACCUGUCUGACCGAUAGCGUACCAGUACCGUGAGGGAAAGGUGAAAAGCACCCCGGGAGGGGAGUGAAACAGUUCCUGAAACCGUGCGCCCACAAACCGUCGGAGCCUCCUUGUGGGGUGACGGCGUGCCUAUCGAAAAAUGAGUCUGCGAGUCAGUGGCGGGUGGCGAGCAUAAGCCGUGUGGCGUAUGCGUAGCGAAAGCGAGUCUUAAAAGGCGUUUUCAGUCGCUUGUCCUGGACCCGAAGCGGGAUGAUCUAGCCCUGGGCAGGUUGAAGCGCGGGUAAGACCGCGUGGAGGACCGAACCCACCUGGGUUGAAAACCGGGGGGAUGACCUGGGGCUAGGGGUGAAAGGCCAAUCAAAUUCCGUGAUAGCUGGUUCUCUCCGAAAUGCAUUUAGGUGCAGCGUCGGUCGAUUGCGUCGCGGGGGUAGAGCUACCGGAUGCUUGCGGGCCCUUGUUGGGUACCAACAGCAGCCGAACUCCGAAUACCGUUGACGUGUAUUCCGGCAGUGAGUCGGCGGGGGAUAAGCUCCGUCGUCGAGAGGGAGACAGCCCAGACCGUCGUCUAAGGUCCCGAAGCGUGUGCUAAGUGGGAAAGGAUGUGGAGUCGCAUAGACAGCCAGGAGGUUGGCUCAGAAGCAGCCAUCCUUGAAAGAGUGCGUAACAGCUCACUGGUCUAGUGGUUCCGCGCCGACAAUGUAGCGGGGCUCAAGCACACCACCGAAGACGCGGCAGCAAUCUUCAUGGUUGCUGGGUAGGAGAGCGUCCUGCGAGGGGCGAAGCGGCCGGGUAACCGUGCCGUGGACUUCGUGGGAGUGAGAAUGCAGACAUGAGUAGCGAGAGACGGGUGAGGAUCCCGUCCGCUGGAUGACCAAGGGUUCCGGGGCCACGUUCGUCGUCCCCGGGUGAGUCGGGUCCUAAGGCGAGGCCGACAGGCGUAGUCGAAUGGAUGAACGGGUGGAUAUUCCCGUACCGACCAUGGACCGGCAAAACCGAGACGGUGAGUACUAACCUCCGCCUCGUGGUGGUUCCUUCCUUCGGGUUGGUAUCGCCGCGUGGUGUUGGGACUGUAGCCGUAGUAGGUCAGCGCAGGGGUGACACGGAAUGGGAGCCGGCCGCGGAGGUGGUUUUCCGUGGUCAAGCACGCAGCCAGUCAUGUAGGCAAAUCCGCAUGGCGCGCAUGGCGAGGUGUGAUGAUGGGAGCCGUUAUGGCUCGAUAUCCGGUUGUCCAGGCCGUCGAGAAAAGCCUCGGCGUGAGGGCCAUGGCCGCCCGUACCCCAAACCGACACUGGUGGUCAGGUAGAGAAUACCAAGGCGAUCGAGCGAAUCCUGGUCAAGGAACUCGGCAAAUCACUCCCGUGCCUUCGGUAUAAGGGAGACCCACUGGGGUGAAGGACCUUGCGUCCGGAGCUUUGGUGGGUGGCACAGACCAGGGGGUAGCGACUGUUUACCAAAAACACAGGUGCAUGCGAAGGCGAAAGCCGCUGUAUAUGCACUGACGCCUGCCCGGUGCCGGAAGGUUAAGAGGAUCCGUCAAUCCCUUCGGGGACGAAGCGGUGAAUUCAAGCCCCGGUAAACGGCGGUGGUAACUAUAACCAUCCUAAGGUAGCGAAAUUCCUUGUCGGGUAAGUUCCGACCUGCACGAAUGGCGUAACGACUUCCCCACUGUCUCGACCAGGAGCUCGGCGAAAUUGCAGUACGAGUAAAGAUGCUCGUUAAGCGCAGAAGGACGAAAAGACCCCGGGACCUUUACUAUACCUUGGUAUUGGCGUUAGGCGCGGAUUGUGUAGC
Molecule: ribosomal RNA, 2275 nt
Filed under: human gut metagenome
Description: bacterial LSU rRNA
Rfam family: Bacterial large subunit ribosomal RNA
Source: RNAcentral